GACGAACGCUGGCGGCGUGCUUAACACAUGCAAGUCGAACGGAAAGGCCCUGCUUUUGUGGGGUGCUCGAGUGGCGAACGGGUGAGUAGCACGUGAGUAACCUGCCCUUGACUUUGGGAUAACUUCAGGAAACUGGGGCUAAUACCGGAUAGGAGCUCCUGCUGCAUGGUGGGGGUUGGAAAGUUUCGGCGGUUGGGGAUGGACUCGCGGCUUAUCAGCUUGUUGGUGGGGUAGUGGCUUACCAAGGCUUUGACGGGUAGCCGGCCUGAGAGGGUGACCGGCCACAUUGGGACUGAGAUACGGCCCAGACUCCUACGGGAGGCAGCAGUGGGGAAUAUUGCACAAUGGGCGGAAGCCUGAUGCAGCAACGCCGCGUGCGGGAUGACGGCCUUCGGGUUGUAAACCGCUUUCGCCUGUGACGAAGCGUGAGUGACGGUAAUGGGUAAAGAAGCACCGGCUAACUACGUGCCAGCAGCCGCGGUGAUACGUAGGGUGCGAGCGUUGUCCGGAUUUAUUGGGCGUAAAGGGCUCGUAGGUGGUUGAUCGCGUCGGAAGUGUAAUCUUGGGGCUUAACCCUGAGCGUGCUUUCGAUACGGGUUGACUUGAGGAAGGUAGGGGAGAAUGGAAUUCCUGGUGGAGCGGUGGAAUGCGCAGAUAUCAGGAGGAACACCAGUGGCGAAGGCGGUUCUCUGGGCCUUUCCUGACGCUGAGGAGCGAAAGCGUGGGGAGCGAACAGGCUUAGAUACCCUGGUAGUCCACGCUGUAAACGGUGGGUACUAGGUGUGGGGUCCAUUCCACGGGUUCCGUGCCGUAGCUAACGCUUUAAGUACCCCGCCUGGGGAGUACGGCCGCAAGGCUAAAACUCAAAGGAAUUGACGGGGCCCCGCACAAGCGGCGGAGCAUGCGGAUUAAUUCGAUGCAACGCGUAGAACCUUACCUGGAUUUGACAUGGAUCGGGAGUGCUCAGAGAUGGGUGUGCCUCUUUUGGGGUCGGUUCACAGGUGGUGCAUGGCUGUCGUCAGCUCGUGUCGUGAGAUGUUGGGUUAAGUCCCGCAACGAGCGCAACCCUUGUUCACUGUUGCCAGCACGUUAUGGUGGGGACUCAGUGGAGACCGCCGGGGUCAACUCGGAGGAAGGUGGGGAUGACGUCAAGUCAUCAUGCCCCUUAUGUCCAGGGCUUCACGCAUGCUACAAUGGCUGGUACAGAGAGUGGCGAGCCUGUGAGGGUGAGCGAAUCUCGGAAAGCCGGUCUCAGUUCGGAUUGGGGUCUGCAACUCGACCUCAUGAAGUCGGAGUCGCUAGUAAUCGCAGAUCAGCAACGCUGCGGUGAAUACGUUCCCGGG
RNAcentral lists this ribosomal RNA (1343 nucleotides) under uncultured bacterium. RNAcentral's name for it is "16S ribosomal RNA". It matches the Rfam family "Bacterial small subunit ribosomal RNA", at positions 28 to 1378 of the family's 1533-position model. The record is from RNAcentral.